This 205-nucleotide microRNA precursor is filed under the name Oryza brachyantha (malo sina). RNAcentral's name for it is "MIR812 microRNA precursor family". It matches the Rfam family "MIR812 microRNA precursor family". Lineage: Eukaryota; Viridiplantae; Streptophyta; Magnoliopsida; Poales; Poaceae. The record is from Rfam by way of RNAcentral.
AAUAAAUUAAUUUUUCACUUUUUACCUAUAAUUUUUGACUCUACGUCUUAUUAAAAAAAUUUGCGAUUAAUAUUUUUGUUUUUAUUAGAUUAUAAAUCAUGAAUAAUACUUUACGUGUGACUAAUUUUUUUCUAAUUUCCUGAAAAUUUUUCAAAUAAGACGAAUGGUCAAACAUCAGACACGGAAACCGAAGAAUUGGUUUUUC